CUUGCGGCUUCCGUGGACGGUUCCACUAAGGGAUUAUGGAAAAUGGCGGUUACCUUUUCGACGAUCUCAAAAAAUGUACAAGUGUAACUUUUUAUCAUGGAUCUGAAUGCAGUUAAAUCCAGCUCCAUUUAGGAAAGGGGAAAAGAUGAGAUCUGUACCCCAGGUGGGUGCUAUAGAUUGCC
RNAcentral lists this long non-coding RNA (182 nucleotides) under Neogale vison (American mink). Its description in RNAcentral is "Neovison vison (American mink) lncRNA (ENSNVIG00000003160.1)". The record is from RNAcentral. Lineage: Eukaryota; Metazoa; Chordata; Mammalia; Carnivora; Mustelidae.